This is a long non-coding RNA of Onychostruthus taczanowskii (white-rumped snowfinch), 718 nucleotides long. RefSeq lists it as uncharacterized. NCBI's taxonomy places the organism in Eukaryota, Metazoa, Chordata, Aves, Passeriformes, Passeridae. The record is from RefSeq and is a predicted model, not a curated record. The transcript has 3 exons.
CAAGCGGUGGCGCAGGGACCGAUCCGCGAGAAGCCGCUGCCGGCGGUGUGUAAAUAUCCGAGUUUGGGCCGAGAUCACCUCGGGGCCGCGGUGGCAGAGCGGGAAGGUUACACAGAGCUGUGGGGAGCGGUUCGGCCGAGCUCCGGGGCAGCAGAGGAAUGAUUUUCAAAAGGAAUCCAUGCAGUGAAUGUGAUGAACCACCAAUCUGCCUGAUGCUACUACCCCAGCUCUGUCCUUCAUCAGAUUAAAUUCUCGUCUUACUUCACUGGGCAGCAACAGAAAGUGAACUUGAAUAGCAUAUCUAAUACAGACAAAUAAGGGAAGAGGUAUUACUGAAAACAUUGUCAUAUGCUCUAUUCUGUGGUUAUGUGUUUAUAACCAUGAGCAGUCUAGUGUAUGUUAAUACUGCUGGGACUCUUGAUGAGAACUGACUUCCUCGGAGUCACAGGUCAGCACUGGACAGUUACCUUAGAGAUUCUGGCAUGCUGUGAUAAUAGCCACAUGCUCCAGCCACUAGAAAUGCUUCUUUUAAGAAUAUAGUCUUAUUCUUGCCUUCUUUCCUUCCUUUCAUGGUGAGCCUCACUUUAUUCUUAACAGUUCUUGGAGUUCAAGCUUUGAUGAAGUGCCGUAUUUAAAUCCUUUUGUAUUAAUGGAGCUCUUUUGUGCAUGAAAUUAGAAGUUGGUCCUGAAAGUGUAACUCAUGUCUGGACAGGGCAGA